UUGAACGCUGGCGGAAUGCUUUACACAUGCAAGUCGAGCGGCAGCGCGGGGCAACCUGGCGGCGAGCGGCGAACGGGUGAGUAACACAUCGGAACGUACCCUGUCGUGGGGGAUAACGAAUCGAAAGAUUCGCUAAUACCGCAUACGACCUGAGGGUGAAAGCAGGGGAUCGCAAGACCUUGCGCGACAGGAGCGGCCGAUGUCGGAUUAGCUAGUUGGUGGGGUAAAGGCCUACCAAGGCGGCGAUCCGUAGCUGGUCUGAGAGGAUGAUCAGCCACACUGGGACUGAGACACGGCCCAGACUCCUACGGGAGGCAGCAGUGGGGAAUUUUGGACAAUGGGCGCAAGCCUGAUCCAGCCAUGCCGCGUGAGUGAAGAAGGCCUUCGGGUUGUAAAGCUCUUUCAGACGGAAAGAAAUCGGGCGCGUGAAUAGCGUGCCUGGAUGACGGUACUGUCAGAAGAAGCACCGGCUAACUACGU
Molecule: ribosomal RNA, 480 nt
Filed under: uncultured bacterium
Lineage: Bacteria
Description: bacterial SSU rRNA
Rfam family: Bacterial small subunit ribosomal RNA
Source: RNAcentral